GCUUCCUUGGUGUAGUCGGUUAUCACGUCGGUCUCAUAGCUUAUCUUGCCUAUGACUGUUCUCAGCAGCAGAUAUCCGAAGGUCGCCAGUUCGAAUCUGGCAGGGAGCA
Karstenula rhodostoma CBS 690.94 is the source of this 109-nucleotide non-coding RNA. The record is from the annotation of a GenBank genome assembly. Lineage: Eukaryota; Fungi; Ascomycota; Dothideomycetes; Pleosporales; Didymosphaeriaceae.